Molecule: non-coding RNA, 93 nt
Organism: Paramuricea clavata
Lineage: Eukaryota; Metazoa; Cnidaria; Anthozoa; Malacalcyonacea; Plexauridae
Source: the annotation of a GenBank genome assembly
AGACUUGCCACAAGUCAACCUCGAACGGAACGCGAGCAGCUUCUUCGUCGCUCGCUGCUCGCGUUUCGUUCGAGGUCGACUUGUGGCAAGUCU